Molecule: non-coding RNA, 85 nt
Organism: Felis catus (domestic cat)
Lineage: Eukaryota; Metazoa; Chordata; Mammalia; Carnivora; Felidae
Source: Rfam
GCCUGGGUGGCUCAGUAGGUUAAGCAUCUGACUUCGGCUCAGGUCAUGAAGUCACAGUCUGUGAGUUCAAGCCCCGCAUCGGGCU